CCUGAGAAACCCAAAAGAUCGAAUGGGGAGAUUCAUCGUCAGCGAUCCAGGCACGUGUGCGGUUCGUGAUGCCGGGGGACUUCGGUCUCAUGGCACACUUCCGUAUGGUUUUUGCCGGGUGUCGUCGGCGUGCACUUCUCCCCUAGUAGGACGUCGCGACCCGUUGGGUGUCGGUCUACGGCCCGGGUGGGCGCCUGUCAUGUGUUACGCUUUACAGCGUCAUGUGGCAGACCCCCGGUUGUCUGACCAGCUGCUCGGCGGUACUCGCACGGUAUCGAGUCGCAAAUAUUCGAACUGCGUCCGGCCCGCCGCAAGCGAGGCCAGUGUUUCACGGAUGUACGGACCUAGCGCCGUCACCGGGCCUGGCCAGCUGUUGGUUGGUGGUGUCCUGGGACUGGCUCUAAAUUAUGAUACCGGUCGGCGACGCUACUGCUUUGGUAUUUC
RNAcentral lists this ribosomal RNA (444 nucleotides) under Alexeter sp. RNAcentral describes it as "eukaryotic LSU rRNA". Lineage: Eukaryota; Metazoa; Arthropoda; Insecta; Hymenoptera; Ichneumonidae. The record is from RNAcentral.